CCUACGGGAGGCAGCAGUGGGGAAUUUUGGACAAUGGGCGCAAGCCUGAUCCAGCCAUGCCGCGUGCAGGAUGAAGGCCUUCGGGUUGUAAACUGCUUUUGUACGGAACGAAAAGACUCUGGUUAAUACCUGGGGUCCAUGACGGUACCGUAAGAAUAAGCACCGGCUAACUACGUGCCAGCAGCCGCGGUAAUACGUAGGGUGCGAGCGUUAAUCGGAAUUACUGGGCGUAAAGCGUGCGCAGGCGGUUAUAUAAGACAGAUGUGAAAUCCCCGGGCUCAACCUGGGAACUGCAUUUGUGACUGUAUAGCUAGAGUACGGCAGAGGGGGAUGGAAUUCCGCGUGUAGCAGUGAAAUGCGUAGAUAUGCGGAGGAACACCGAUGGCGAAGGCAAUCCCCUGGGCCUGUACUGACGCUCAUGCACGAAAGCGUGGGGAGCAAACAGGAUUAGAUACCCUGGUAGUCCACGCCCUAAACGAUGUCAACUGGUUGUUGGGUCUUCACUGACUCAGUAACGAAGCUAACGCGUGAAGUUGACCGCCUGGGGNGACGCGCGAGUAGAACGACGAAGAGUAGACGNGNGAGAGACGACGACGACGACGAGGAGGGAGGAG
Molecule: ribosomal RNA, 614 nt
Filed under: uncultured bacterium
Lineage: Bacteria
Description: bacterial SSU rRNA
Rfam family: Bacterial small subunit ribosomal RNA (bases 1-542)
Source: RNAcentral